Myodes glareolus (Bank vole) is the source of this 462-nucleotide non-coding RNA. NCBI's taxonomy places the organism in Eukaryota, Metazoa, Chordata, Mammalia, Rodentia, Cricetidae. The record is from RefSeq and is a predicted model, not a curated record.
CAUGGAGCCAGCCACCAGGUCAGACAUGCUGAAUCUUUCCCGUGGCAGAGAGGACCAUGCCUCAAGGAUGCGAUGACAGGGUGGCUGAGCUGCCUGGGAACCUACUCUUGCUGAGAUGCCCCCUUUGGAGGAGACCCACUUGCCCCUCUGGCACCAGAGAGUGAGAAGAGGUGGUAUCCGCCUUCCAUAAGAUCGAGGAGCAUGUCUGAAUUGUUGCAGAGAAGAGUCAGCCCGGCCUGUGGCCCUUAGUUCCUACGUGGGCGCCGACAUGUGUGACACUCGCUGCCUGCACGUCUCUGGGCUGCACCGGCCUCUGGGAGAGCUGCCUGGGCAUGCGAUAUCCGGGAGAAGGCCGCCACCCACCGAGGCUUCCCAGUGAAUAAGGAGUUUCUCUUGGGGUUUUCAGAGGCCUGGGCAGAGCCUUGAGCACUUAAAACAGCUCCAAUAAAGCAUGAAUAAUGA